Molecule: long non-coding RNA, 1134 nt
Organism: Mustela erminea (ermine)
Lineage: Eukaryota; Metazoa; Chordata; Mammalia; Carnivora; Mustelidae
Exons: 4
Source: RefSeq, a predicted model, not a curated record
CCCCCGCCAGUGGCAGCCUCUGGGUGAGGGCCGCUGGGUCUGGUUUUGUUCUGUCACUCAUCUGGGCAAGCAUCUCUAGGGGAUAGAGAAGACCCCCUGGCAAGUAUCUGUAGGGGGCCAGGAAAAAACCCCCACCCAGGCCAGCUCUGGGAAACAAGAAGAGCGCCCCCUGGACCUAACACCCCCUACUCCGGAUCUUCCCACUCAGGUCUCAGUCUUGGAGCCAGACUUUAUUGUGAUUUCUUCCCUUCUAUCACUAUGCAAGGACAAGUUGUAAUUUUUUUUUCUUGUUAUGAUGGAAAAAAUAAAUGGACAAUAAGCUGAUGGUGAUUUGGAAGUAGUUAUAGGAGAAAAAUGGAAAACAACUUUGGAAAAAUUACAUGUACAGAUGCCCUUAAUGAAGUGAUGUGAUCUUCCAUGGAGAGAAUGUCAGGUAGAAACAUUAAGGAAGAUCAUAAAAUGUCAUAGGUAAAGGUAUCCAUAUAGAGAAGAGGAAGAAGGCAAGGGGCACCGGGGAGAAAAUUUCAGGAGGGUAAAUAGACUCUUAGGCCAAUGACAAAAAGGAAAAAAAAAAUUCAAAGAAGGGUAAAAUCAACUCAAAUGUUUGGCAUGUUAAAGAUUGGAUCAACAAAAGACCAGAAGACUUGUGUGAAUAAAAGAUAUACGUUAUUCAUGGAACAGAGGUCAGAGCAAGAAUUCAAUGGGUGUGAGUUAUGGAAGGUUGGGGGAUUAUAGACAGUCAUAGAAGAAGUACCACCAACUUUUUUCUGGAAUAAGAAAGAUAAAGAAAAAGAAUGCUAUCCUGAGAGGACAUGAAGAUGAGUUAAACAAGUCCUGGAGACAUCAAAACAAGAACUGGCAUUAAGAAUGCAAAGGCUCAACUCUGAUGAUCUCUACUUUGCCAGAUACCAUCCUGCCUGUCCCAAAUUCCCACUGUUGAUUUCAGCUGGGGAAGGUAUACUAUUCAAAUAAAUACUGGAAUUUGCUCUUGAGGUGAAUUGUGGACACUGUGUAUGCCAUUCAUCCAAAGUACUGCUUCAUGUCUAGGGUGCAAACCUAAUGCAGUCACUUGAUAAUGUGAAAUAAUACAGGCUUUUUUUUUGUUUUGUUUUGUUUUGUUUUUGUUUUUGUUUU